UGUUUCCCCUCGCCCCGACCGGGUCAAAAAAAAGGGCCCGGGUCAAAAGUUUUUUUGCCAAAAAAUUGCGAUGUUUUUUUUUUUUAUUUCCGUAAAAAAAUCGUGUCCGCUCCGUGUCGGUUCUAGACGUUACUUCUGCUUUUUUCGGAAGUUACCGGGAUUUAUCGAUACUUGAAAAAAUGGGUGACAGAAUACACCUAUCAACACUUCGCCACGAGUUACGUCCCUUUGCGGGGUCAGCCAAAGGUCAAUCGGUGAAAAACCAAGUUUUCAUUCUUUACCUUACCAAAUGUAAGAUGUUAUUACUUUGAAUUUUAGCCAAUUACCAAGUUUUCAUACAAGUUAAUGGGUUGCCCCAAUCUGGGGCAUAUUGUAGUUGACUGCAAUUGAUGGAAAAAUAACAGAUGUCAAAGCUACAGAUAGGAAAAUUACAAAGGCCAACGUAGGGAAAUACGAUUUUUAUCCGGGAGAUGGCGGACAAGGGACGUAACUUUCGCGAAGUGUUGAUACGUGUAUAGCGUUGUCGUCUACUGUAAAGAUAAAAUACAAACACACAUCUAAAGUUGUGCCCAUAAUAGUCAACAGACUCUACAGUUUCUCCAAACACUGUACAUGGAAUGAGGUUUUGAAUGAUUUGACGGCGACCAUAACAUAGACAAGUUGGACGAAGUAACUGUCACCGUGUCGGACAAACUUGCCAACGGUGUAACUUUUGAGCCAGAUUUUGAAGAACAGAUACAAGUGGUUCACAACUUUGAUAAAAAAUUGAAAUAUGUACAAUUUGACGUGAUAAGAGACUUAGAACCAAAUAACAAUGUACCAAAAGGUCAAAAUCCUCCUACAUGUCCUACAGCUUUCGAUGUUUUGAUGAGAAAGUCCAGCACACUGACAAAGCUCCCUCAAAAGAUUGAUGAAGCCUCUCCCAGAUUUACAGGUAAUUUAUAUGCAUUAUUAUAUUUCUAUCAAGUAGGUUUGAGAUGGUGUAUGGCUCAUGUCUUAAAGUUAUAAAUGAGUCUGUCCCACACCAUUUCAUUUCUUUCUUCAAUGUUCCCAAACUUUUGGUCUGGGGAAAUUUAUGGUAGGGGGUGUAAAAACGGUAAAUUCCUAGGGGAAGUGCUGCCCAAAUUUUUUUCAACAUUGGACUUUGUCAUUUUUUCACAUUUUAAAGGGUCGCAGCUAUACAUUUGUGAGGGGGUGGACAGGGGUGUCUCCAAUUCCCUCGAGAUUUAAGAGCCUUGAAGCACACAACAGAUAAAUAUGACUACACUUGCGGGGCAAUUUUAGCACCAGAAGGGGAUGUUCUACAUGGAAAAGUUUUCACAAGACUCCAGCUUGCAUGUACCAGUCACAUUGAAUUUGCAUACUACAGCUCGGAUGUUGGCCGCAAAGACAUAUGUGCAUAUUGUGUUGCAACAGAGAUCCAAAAGGACAAGGACUUGUGCAAAAACUUUAAAGUUGUGCUGCCAGUUUGUGACUUGUGUCGUUCAAAAAAAUUGGAAGUCCCAAAGAGAAAUCCAAUUAAGAAAUAGUUAAUUCUAGUCUGACAAUCAGUUAAUUCUAGUCUGAUAUUCAUCCUCUCUAAGUCAUUCUUUUUAACAUGUUGUUUAUGAUUUUUGUUUCUACUUGUUUCUAGUCAAGAAUAAAUGUUUUUUGUUUAUUUUCA
Long non-coding RNA from Ostrea edulis (European flat oyster), 1663 nucleotides. RefSeq lists it as uncharacterized. Lineage: Eukaryota; Metazoa; Mollusca; Bivalvia; Ostreida; Ostreidae. The record is from RefSeq and is a predicted model, not a curated record. The transcript has 2 exons.